RNAcentral lists this ribosomal RNA (400 nucleotides) under uncultured bacterium. Its description in RNAcentral is "bacterial SSU rRNA". It matches the Rfam family "Bacterial small subunit ribosomal RNA", at positions 355 to 772 of the family's 1533-position model. The record is from RNAcentral.
UGGGGAAUAUUGGACAAUGGGGGAAACCCUGAUCCAGCCAUGCCGCGUGAGUGAUGAAGGCCUUAGGGUUGUAAAGCUCUUUUGUCAGGGAAGAUGAUGACGGUACCUGAAGAAUAAGCACCGGCUAACUUCGUGCCAGCAGCCGCGGUAAUACGAAGGGUGCUAGCGUUGUUCGGAAUCACUGGGCGUAAAGCGCGCGUAGGUGGCUUUGAAAGUCAGGGGUGAAAUCCUGGGGCUUAACCCCAGAACUGCCUUUGAAACUACAAAGCUUGAGUGUUGGAGGGGAUAGCGGAAUUGCUAAUGUAGAGGUGAAAUUCGUAGAUAUUAGCAGGAACACCGGUGGCGAAGGCGGCUAUCUGGACAACAACUGACACUGAGGCGCGAAAGUGUGGGGAUCAAA